This 253-nucleotide ribosomal RNA is filed under the name uncultured bacterium. RNAcentral's name for it is "partial 16S ribosomal RNA". It matches the Rfam family "Bacterial small subunit ribosomal RNA", at positions 524 to 776 of the family's 1533-position model. The record is from RNAcentral.
UACGAAGGGGGCUAGCGUUGCUCGGAAUCACUGGGCGUAAAGGGUGCGUAGGCGGGUCUUUAAGUCAGGGGGGAAAUCCUGGAGCUCAACUCCAGAACUGCCUUUGAUACUGAAGAUCUUGAGUUCGGGAGAGGUGAGUGGAACUGCGAGUGUAGAGGUGAAACUCGUAGAUAUUCGCAAGAACACCAGUGGCGAAGGCGGCUCACUGGCCCGAUACUGACGCUGAGGCACGAAAGCGUGGGGAGCAAACAGG